Brachypodium distachyon (stiff brome) is the source of this 116-nucleotide non-coding RNA. The record is from Rfam. NCBI's taxonomy places the organism in Eukaryota, Viridiplantae, Streptophyta, Magnoliopsida, Poales, Poaceae.
AAUUUUGCGCUUUGACCCUCCUUAGUUCAACCAAAUGAACUAAAAAUUUAAAAUGGCACAACUUUUUGGAAAACUAGUUCAUUUGUUUGAACUAAGGAGAGUCAGAGGGUACCCUG